GUUACCAUCUGAAUGAUUUCACUUAGAACGGUACCAUCUGGAUGAUUUCACUUAGAACGGUACCAUCUGGAUGAUUUCACUUAGAUCAGUACCAUCUGAAUGAUUUCACUUAGAAUGGUACCAUCUGGACUAUUUUACUUAGAAUGGUACCAUCUGGACUAUUUUACUUAGAAUGGUACCAUCUCAAUGAUUUCACUUAGACGGUGAUGUAUCUCACCACCCCCAAACUAGGUCACAUCUCAGUCCCAUAAGUAUUGGAAGACACUUGCUCACAAAAUCAUUGUUGUUUGGUCUGUGUGUGUGAUCCAUUGUAUCGGGCUUCACACUAUCAUUCAACAAACAUGGGGUUGUCUAUCACAUGAUUGUAUCACAUGUUAGUCAUGUGACACAAAGUCACAUGACCUUCCUGCAUCCAUGGCCAAUGGUUAUCUGGGAUGAACAAAUCUGAACUGUACCCUAUGUCUACAGUGCUUUCAGGUCAAGAGGUACGGACAGGGAUACAAGUGUUACUAAUGGGUAAUAACGUUUUUACUUUUAACAGAAACAGUACGCAGUAAGAGGGACAACUUAUGAUGCAAAGUCAUGGUCAGUGUAUGUACCAGUGAACCUUCCUAAUCAGCAGCGGAUCCGUCACAGAUGAUAUGGCUUUCUGGUCGAAAUAUUGUCACCGAUGUUUGGUCAUAGCUCCAGAACAAUCUAUGUAUGAUUUAACUUAUACAUGUAUUCUUACCACAUUUUUAUCACUUUUUUCAGACACUGUAUGGUCAGAGGUCAAAAUGAAAAUUUUAAAAGUUUUUUUGUUUUUUUUUAAAGAAUUGUAAUUUACAUCAAAUGAAGCAAUAAAAUUUAUAUUGCAGGACAAGUCUUUGGUUACUUCACUUCAUAUUUUGACCGACCUUGAAGUGUUUUGUCAUUACUGAAAUAAAUUAAGAAUUAACAGAUUUGGCAAGAGCAACAAAACCAAUUAAAUCAAUUAUUUUUGUAUUCCUAGAAGUUUGAGUCAGUGGAUUUUUUAAAUCAAGCGAUCGAAGGAAAUAUGCCAGAGAGGAACGUUCACUGUGUACAUACAUUACUGUGAGCUUUGUAAAUAUCACAUGAUGACAUGCCACCAUUGCAGCAGCUUCUGUUUUCCUGAUCAGGACAGUACUUGUGUGUCAUUCAGCUGAAGCUGGUGUUGUGUGGAGGUGUGUUCAGGUGUACUGGAUGUUGCAAUGAUGUUCCUUGGAUCUGAAAGCAUUGUAGGAAUAUCAUCAAGAAAUUACACUAGAAUGUCAUACUAUAUUGUCAGUCCUUGAUGUAGAGUGAUGUCAGACACAUGUCAACACCAUCCUCUAGAUUGUCAUCAGUCUAGAGUUCAGAAGUCAGACACCAUGUCAAAACUAUAGGGCUGUGACGGGUCAGACACCAAGCUGACACCUUAGGGCUGUGACGGGUCAGACACCAAGCUGACACCUUAGGACUGUGACGGGUCAGACACCAUGUCGACACCUUAGGGCUGUGACGGGUCAGACACCAAGCUAACACCAUAGGGCUGUGACGGGUCAGACACCAAGCUGACACUAUAGGGCUGUGACGGGUCAGACACCAAGCUAACACCAUAGGGCUGUGACGGGUCAGACACCAAGCUGACACCUUAGGACUGUGACGGGUCAGACACCAUGUCGACACCUUAGGGCUGUGACGGGUCAGACACCAAGCUAACACCAUAGGGCUGUGACGGGUCAGACACCAUGUCGACACCUUAGGGCUGUGACGGGUCAGACACCAAGCUAACACCAUAGGGCUGUGACGGGUCAGACACCAAGCUGACACCUUAGGACUGUGAGGGGUCAGACACUAUGUCGACACCUUAGGGCUGUGACGGGUCAGACACUAUGUCAACACUAAAGGGCUGUGACGGGUCAGACACCAAGCCCCGUUGAAGGGAGAUAACUCUAACUGAAAGUUGUUGACAAGGACAUUUAACUCUCGUUAGCAGUGUUCAUGGCUUCGUUGGGACGACGAAAUGGAAGAGAAAUGGUCUAGCACAGUAUGGUCACUCUGACACUGAGGCGCCUAAACUGAAAAACAAAAUAUUGUUUAUAGGGCAUUAGGGUUAUGAUGCACAGAAUGUUUAACCAACUCAAUAUUUAAACAUCUUUGUACGAAACACAAAUCGAGGUCAAGUUCUCACGGUCAAGUAAGACACAAUGGACACUUGGUGACUUUGGUACAUUUAAAUGGAAACCACAGGACCGGAAAUCCAAUGAGCUUUCAUCCGAAAAAAAUUGUGGCCGAUGAAUAAGGUGAAAGUAGUAUAACGUCAAUAAUACCUGGGUACUUGAGUCCUAGUCGGGUAUUCUGCCUGUCACAGCCCUACGACACCAUCCUCUAGACUGUUAUCAAUCUAGAGUUCAGAAGUCAUGUUGACACCAACCUUUAGAUUGCCCUCAAUGUAGAGUUCAGGGGUCAGUUCCAUGUUGACACCAACAUUCAGAUUAUCUUCUGUCUAGAGUUAAGUCAGACACUAUGUCAACACUAACCUCACAGGUGUUGUCAAUCUAGACUUAAGUCAGACACCAUGUCGAUACCAAUCUCUAGGGUAUCCUCAAUGUUGAUGUAUUUCGGCCACCAUGUCGACACCAAGCUCUAGGGUAUCUUCAAUCUAGACUUAAGUCAGUCACCAUGUCGACACCAACCUCUAGGGUAUCCUCAAUCUAGACUUAAGUCAGACACCAUGUCGACACCAACUUCUAGGGUAUCUUCAAUCUAGACUUAAGUCAGACACCAUGUCGACACCAACCUCUAGGGUAUCCUCAAUCUAGACUUAA
Molecule: long non-coding RNA, 2810 nt
Organism: Haliotis rufescens (red abalone)
Lineage: Eukaryota; Metazoa; Mollusca; Gastropoda; Lepetellida; Haliotidae
Exons: 2
Source: RefSeq, a predicted model, not a curated record